AAACGCCAACACAAUAUGGACUCUCCAAAAUUUCCCAAUUCCUUGCCCUAAUCUCGCAUCCGAUUGCUUCACUUUCUUUAGCUCGCAGUUUCAACCACUCGGCGAGUCGAAUCCAACAGGGUCCUGGAAACAGUGAUAUCGGCUUUCACUCCAUCGAGAGUGGCGUUCAAGGAAUGGAUAUGACGAGAUAAAUUUGUCAUGUGAUCAUGAUGCUUGGUGCAUUUGCAUUGGGAGCGCAAUACUUUCUGAGUAAUAACGUCAAGAUCAGGGAGACAUGAUGUGAGGAUCCACCACCUCCAAAGACUUACCUAUCAAUGUACCAAUAUUCCAUGUAUCAAGCCUCAUCAAGCACUCCUAGGCUAACUUCUUUAUCCAUAUCUGUCCAGAAAAAUGUGAGGAUCCUUGCCCAUUUAACACUACUACAUAAGGGAUCUAAUGCAAUGACUCUAGCUCAUUUAUCGUUGAACACAAGCCAUAUAGCGCUUUAUUUCAGAUUCUGGAAAGGUUUUUGGAAUGGCAGCAAUUUAUACUCUAUACAUCAUCCGUAAGUCUGGUGGAUUGAUCUAUUAUAAGAUUAUGGGUCUGCUGGACGAAUGGAUACCAAUGAUAGCUUGCGGGUGGCAAGUUUAUGGCAUUCAAUGCAUGCUAAUGCUAUCUCUCAGCAGUUAUCACCUGUUUCAGGUUGUUUAGGAAUUGAACUUCUCCAAGCAGAUACAUUUGAUCUUCAUUGUUUUCAAUCGCUGACAGGCCUUGCAGCUUGCAGCUUGCAGGUAGCUGUAGUAUGGCCAGUUUUCAAUUAAAGAUGGUUUCAGUAUAUCAGAAGCUCUAGAUAAUUACUGGGGCAAAAUUUUUUGUGGUCUGUGAGUCUGGAGCACAACACAUGGAAAAUUUAUUGAAAUUUGUCUAUGAAUUGUACACGGACUAUGUUUUGAAGAAUCCGUUCUAUCAUAUGGAGAUGCCUAUACAUUGUGAGCUCUUUGAUAUCAACCUAACACAGGCAGUAGAAAAGGACCGUGUUGCAUUUUGGGCCGAUGAAAUUCAUAUCCAACUGUUAUCACAUUUCUAUUCUGAUUAGUACAUAAUCUAACAUUUGUCAUUCAAUUACACUACCUGUAAGGGACGAGUCUCUUUUGCUGCUCCUAGCUCUUUUGUAUUUGCUCUUUUUGAACAAAUCAAGAUUUACAAUGUCUUAGAAAAAAUGUUUUCUGACACGAGAUUCGUCAUUUUCCAGCAAUGCUUUUCAUAUGGUAGUAGUUAGAAAUUGCCUGUGGUGCUACAUUGAUUACCUUUGUGUAUGGUUUGUUUUGCAGAUGUGAUUUAUUUUUAAUGAUGGUAGAACUCGAUGAAUGGACUAGGGUUCUUGCAAGAUUGGAUUUGGUGCACCCGGUCAAUAGUCAGUCGCAAUGUUGCAUGUUCCUUAGUUGGUUACUAGAUAGUCCAAUGAGUUUAUUGUCCUUUUCGAUUCAAAUCUGAUAUAGUACACACACAUAAAAAUCAUCUUACAUAUGCUUAGUUUUCAUUAUUUGAGAUAAUUGGUUCCACUUCUUGGGGGCUCACUUUUUGAUUAUGUCAUCACUCUUUAGUGUUUAUUGAAGUGAGAUGAUAAGGUGUUGUGCUCCAAGUAUCAUUACCAAAUCCGAUAUACAGUGACCUAUGUGCAUAAAAUUUACUGGGUUUAGUUGCCCAGGGAACAAAUUUAGACAUAGACUAUAUGUUUAAGUUUGAAAUUUUGUUCAUUUUACAUGUAAUUUGAUUUAACGACUUUUAAGGCUUAGUAAUUAACUUUGCCCAUUAUUUUGUAA
Long non-coding RNA from Cajanus cajan (pigeon pea), 1802 nucleotides. RefSeq lists it as uncharacterized. Lineage: Eukaryota; Viridiplantae; Streptophyta; Magnoliopsida; Fabales; Fabaceae. The record is from RefSeq and is a predicted model, not a curated record.